UUCAAUUCUACAUACAAAUAAAAAUGGUGGUUCAGACUUCAGUUUCAAAGAACAUUUUAGUAAAUUGAAUUAGAUUUUUGAAAUACUACAAAGUUGAAGAAAGUCCAAGUGCUACAACUAAUUCCUUCAAUUAAUUGUAGGAAUCUGGUGCGAUUACGUGGUGCGUAAAAAAGUGUUGUUAUAAAAGAAAAACAGGUUGUUGAAUUUACCGAAUUCACAGUAGUGUGUAUGGUUGAUUUAGUAUUUGUAUUCGUUUAAAUCCAACGUUGAUGUGAAAAUAACUGUGAUACCAUAAUAAAUUGCCAGGACAAAUACAAUUUAGCAUCGAGCUACACAAGCAAAACGAAGACUUACCAGCAUGUGACCCACAUCUGAAGUUUCUCUUUAUUAUAUUUUGUUAUUACAGUAAUUCUGGAUUAAAUUAACAACACACAAAGUGUAAAACACAAGUUACUAUAAAAAAGUGAAGCAACGAAUGUGCUAACUGUGGAUAACUUGGAAGUGAACAAGUGGUCAACCCUUGGGGGGUAGUUGCUGGUAAUUAGACAAGGAUAAAGAGACCCUAGUAACUGCGAUUUGCGGCUACGAUACCUUCCCUAAACAGUGCGGGAUUGAAGUAAUGAAGUAAAUAAAUGCUUCCUACUGAUGACAGUUACCAUCAUAACAAGACAUGCUAAACUACAGUUUGAAAAUAAAGUUCAAAUAUGUUUGAUAUAUCUCAUGCUGGUGUUCUGAAUAUGAAGUAGGAUGGCUCAUUCUGAGAAAUCCAUUUUCAUUGUGCAGGUAUUUGUGGGUGCCUACUCUGCCCAAUAUGAAGCACUAUCAGUGGAGACAACCAAAAAUACCAGCUCCGAAGAGAUAGUGAGAUGCAUUACCGAUAAACUCGGCCUGAAUGAUGGCUCUGGAGGUCCCUAUGAGCUCGCUGAGGUGGUGGGAGAUGUCAUCAGCGGGGAGUGCAAGGAGAGGAGACUGGGGCCCAAUGAGUCCCCCGUAGCUGUCAUGAUGCUGUGGCCCAGCAACAACUCCGGCCAGUAUAAUAGGUUCUACUUGCGCGAAAAGAUCCCGGACGAGCCGUGGAUGGAGAACUUCUCGGUGGACCCGCAGCUCAUAAAGGACUACUUCCAGCGGUUCCUGUACCAGCCCAAGGACCGGGAGUACCCCGACCUGUGCCAGCUGCCGGAGCUCAACGAGCAGACGCUGUUGGACAACCUGCGGGCGAGGUUCUCCGCCGGCUACAUCUAUACCUACGUCGGCUCCAUCCUGAUAGCCCUCAACCCCUUCAAGUUCUACCCCAUCUACAACCCCAAGUAUGUCAAGCUUUACCAGAACAAGCGGCUGGGGUCCAGCUUCCCGCCCCAUAUAUUCGCGGUGGCGGAUACCGCCUACCACUGCAUGCUCCGCGAGCGGACCAACCAGUGCAUAGUUAUCAGCGGCGAGAGCGGAUCGGGGAAGACGGAGAGCACCAACUUCCUCCUCCAUCACCUAACCGCCCUCAGCCAGAAGGGUUCCCACGGGAGCGGCGUCGAGCAGACGAUCCUGAGUGCGGGCCCGGUGCUCGAGGCCUUUGGGAAUGCCAAAACGGCUCACAACAAUAACUCGAGUCGCUUCGGCAAGUUCAUCCAAGUGAACUACAAGGAGAAUGGCAUGGUGCACGGUGCGGUCGUGCAGAAGUAUCUCCUAGAAAAGUCUAGAAUAUGCAGUCAGGGUCGCAACGAAAGGAACUACCAUGUGUUCUACUAUCUGCUGGCUGGGGCCUCGGAGCAGGAGAAGGAGCAGCUGCAUCUGCUCAGUGUGGACAAGUACAACUAUCUGUCGAAGACAGGUUGUAGUGUAGUGCCCGGUGUUGACGAACAGUACGAGUUCUCCAGACUCAAGCAGUCCAUGGACAUGGUGGGAUUCACGCUGGACAAACAGCGGAGACUCUUCGCUGUUCUCUCUGCUGUACUCCUGUUGGGUAAUGUGGAGUUUCAGCCGCAGAGGAAAUCCUACCACCAUGACGAGGCAGUGGGUGUGCGGAACCCUGAGGUGGUCUCCCUCAUAUCGUCCCUAUUGCGGGUCAAGCAGGAGACGCUGCUGGCGGCUUUAACGUCCAAACGAGCGAGGGCUUCCGGAGAAACACUAGUUAUAAACUAUAGGCUUCCAGAAGCGAUAGCGACUCGUGACGCGAUGGCCAAGUGCUUGUAUGGUGCGCUUUUUGACUGGAUCGUGAUGCAGGUCAACCACGCGUUGCUCUCCAAAAAGGACACUCUGCGGGAACAUCAGGGACAUAGUAUAGGCGUUCUAGACAUAUUCGGUUUCGAAGAUUUCGGCCUGAGCAACAGUUUUGAGCAGCUGUGCAUCAACUACGCCAAUGAGCACCUUCAGUACUAUUUCAAUCAGCAUGUGUUCAAAUACGAGCAAGAGGAGUACAGAAGAGAGGGUAUCCGCUGGACAGACAUAGGUUUCUCCGAUAACACCGGCUGUUUGCAACUUAUUGAGGGCAAACCGAGCGGACUGCUGUGUCUGUUGGAUGAUCAGUGCAAUUUUCCUUGGGCGACGAACGAAACUCUGCUACAGAAGUUCAAUUCGGUGCAUAAGGACAACCAGUUCUACGAAAAACCGCAGAGGCGGGAACCCGCCUUUGUAGUGAGGCAUUACGCGGGACGUGUCAAAUACCAGGUAACGGCGAUGCGCGAGAAGAAUUUAGACCUCAUGAGGCAGGACAUAGUGAGCGUGCUCAAGAACUCGUCGCUGGCCUUCGUCAGAGAACUGGUGGGAGUCGAUCCCGUGGCGGUUUUCCGGUGGGCGAUCGUGCGAGCGUUCUUCAGAGGGUACUUUGCGUUUCUGGACGCUGGUAAGCGCCACCGCGUCAACAGGGUAGAUAGUGCCUCCCGUGUACCCCGACCUUCAAUACACGCGGCCAACGAGAGCAUCCUCAGCCAUCUGGUGACAGUAUCGUCAAUCAAUCUCGCAAUCAACCGCAUUGCAACGCCGCACAGAGCGCCGAGCAGGGGGCGCGACGCGGCGCGUAGCGAUACCAGGCCGAGGACAGAGACGACGAGUGUCGGUCGCGCGGGGGGGAAAGGGACAAAAAAUUAUAGGAUCGCCGAGACGCGCACGCGCCGCGUAGAGCGCGACUUGGACGACGCGGACGUCAUGCAGCGCGCCAGUCUCAUCGUCAUGAAAAACAAGUCGUUUAGACCUCGGGAGCGUGCUAAGAAGGGUCUAAAGAAUCUGCAGAGUGUUAAGACUUUGGCCGGAAGGACGGGUGCACCGGCCGGAAAAAGAAAACAACCGUUGACUGUCGCGACUCAGUUCCAGCAUUCGCUAGCGGCACUCAUGGAGACUCUCAAUCAGGCCAAUCCAUUCUUUAUCAGAUGUAUCAAAUCGAAUAGCGACAAAAUACCAAACGUGUUCGAUGAAGAGACGGUCCAACGGCAGUUGCGGUAUACGGGCAUGCUGGAGACUGUGCGUAUACGCCAAGCGGGCUACAACGUGCGGAUCACGUACGACGAGUUCAUACGCAUAUACCGUAUACUCCUCCCCAAGGGCCUGCUGAGCUCGCAGGCGGACGUCAAACACUUCCUGGCCACGCUUAAUCUAGACAGGGAUAAUUAUCAACUCGGUGCGACGAAGAUCUUCAUGCGCGAGAGCGAGCAGACGAAGCUGGACUACCGGCUGCACCAGCAGCUCAUGGCGUCCAUCAUCACCAUACAGCGGUGGUUCCGCGCCGUGCUCGAGCGACGACACUUCCUCGCGCUGCGCCGCGCUUCCGUCGUCAUACAGGCAUACUGCAGACACUGGCUGGUGGUACGCAACGAGGCGGCGCUGCGCGUCCAGGCGUGGUUCCGCGGGAACAAGGUGCGGCGCUGGUACCUGCGGCUGCGUGACGCCGCGAUACAGUUCCAAGCGGCCGCACGAGGGUUCCUCCUCAGGAAGUCCCUACCCGAGCUCAGGAGACGAAUACCCAGCAGGACGAAAGUACACCAUGACAGUAAAGCGGCACUGUGUGCGGACAGUGACGUCAGCCAGCCCAGCAUAGAACAGCUUAAGAACAUCAUCGAUAUACACCUAAACCUGCUAAGGCAAGAAGAAGCAGAAAAAACGAGACAACUACGGGCUACACAAUCACUGCCUCUUGCAAGUCUGGAGAAAAAACACGAUAGCACGUUACUAGAGAGAACUAUGUUGACAUACAACAAGAGAAGAGUGUCCAAAACACAGAACAUAUCCGAGUUGUCGCUGAACCAAUCUGCCGCAGGUCACCAAGAACCCAGCGAGUCGUCUCCCGAGGAGGGUUGGCCGAUAAUGCGAUACCCGCAGGUGCCUCGUCCGAAUAAGAUCACCGCUGAGGACUUGGCGAACGAGUUGCCGCGACUACGGAUAGACGAGAAUUACUUGAUGGCUGAGAAAAAUAAGAUCGAGAGAGAAUUGGAGUCGAUAGCGAGCAGCAGCGAAGAGUACUUGCGGCAAGCCGGCGAGUGCAAUAUGAACAAUUCUCGUCGCACAUCGCCACAAGUGUACCAACGCAGCCUAUCGAGCACGACGCUGGAGCCGCGCGCGUUACACAGCCUGCCGCCCGUGCGCCGCGACCCGCGCGACGCGCACGCACCGGCUAACACGCACUCACGUGACCAGCGUGACUCGCAUACGCAUGACGCGCAUGAUACGUCGCGUACGGCGGCGCGCGUGGCUGCGAGUCCGGAGGCGCCGGCGCGCGGGGCGCGGCGAGCGGCGCGGCGGGUGGAGCGGCCGGUCGCGCAGGCGUUGUCGGCGUUACCCGUGCUUCCCGUAGAACUAGACGACAGAUGUGUGCGCGGGGGCUCGCCGCUGCGGCGCCGCAACUCGGACCCGGCGGCCGCGCCGCUGCCCGCAGACUACAUCGGCCACACCGCUAACGGACUGUUCGGCAUUGCGGGACACCGAUUUCGCAAAGGCACUAGGUUUUCAAAGGACGACAAAUGCGUUUACUGCCAUCAAGCUAUCGACGCGUUCGUGACGCAGGGCCAGCGGUGUAUAGAUUGUAAACAGCUCUACCACACCAAAUGUAUACAGAAUAAGGGCGUUAUUACUAUGCCCUGUCCAAGUCCAGUCAAUGUAGCGAAUAGAACGAGGCAUAAAAUAAGAAAACGGGUGCUGUCGAAAGACACGCACUAUCUAACAACCGACAAAGGGUCGGUUAGUUCGAAUUUCAAUCUUACUGGCACCUCGGAGUUUAUGGAUCGGACGGACAAGAUCAUAUCGGACGCGGAUGAACUACAGGCGAUGCAGAACUUCAUCAAACAGAAGAUUCAUUUGAUGGAGGCCUCUGAGAGCGAGAAACAAUCAGAGGUCGACAGGGUAUUCAAGCACGCGCUCCGAGAGUUCAAAGACAAUCUGGUAGCGACAUACAGCGUCGUACAGACUCGCGGCUCGGCUCUCAAGUACAAGGACCUGAUAGGGAACUUCCUCCACGUUAUGGAGACGGUGUGCGCUCGCGAGGGGUCUACAUUAUCUAUUACUAUGGGGGUUAACGCGUUCCGAGGGUUUAUGGACGAGUUUAUGAGCCAGCACGAGACGGAUAAGGCCCGGACUAAACGGAAAAAGGAUAAGAAACGAAAGGUGGAGGACCUGAUCAAGCACGAGGGCCACACGUUCUACUUGUCGAUGAUCAACAUCCCCACGGAGUGCGAGGUGUGCAAGACGUUCUUCAUGUGGCCGCUAGAGAAGUCCCUCAUCUGCCAGACAUGCCGGCUCGUCACGCAUAAGAAGUGCUAUAUGAAGGUAACCUCUCAGUGCAGUAAGGAGGUGUUCAGGAAAGAUGGUGUGGUGUCAUCGACGACGGUGAUCGUCCGGGUGGUCGAUGCCAGCGGCCGGGAGAAGCUGGGAGUCGUGCCGAUUGGGAAGGUGUUUGGCGUGCCGUUGAGUGAGUUGCCGACCGGCGACAGCAACAUUCCAAUUGUGAUCGACAGGUUGAUUACUACAAUAGAGAUGACGGGCUUGUACACGGAGGGACUAUACAGAAAAAGUGGAUUAAGUUCUAAGGUGCGUGAGCUGCGCGCGCUACUCGACGCGCGGCCGGAGGAGGGCGUGGAGCGGCUGGACUCGUACGCGGUGCACGUGCGCGCCUCCGUGCUCAAGGGCUUCUUCCGCGAGCUGCCCGAGCCCCUGCUCACCUUCGACCUGUACGACGACUUCAUACUCGCCGCCGAGAUCUCUGACCCCCAGGAACGGGUGUCGUGUAUAUUCACAAUACUGAAGAAAUUACCCAAACCCAACUACGAUCUCGCCGAAAGACUCAUAUUCCAUCUCGCGAGGGUGGCACUAGUGGAAAAUCACAACAGGAUGGGUCCAAACGCGCUGGCGAUAGUGUUUGCGCCGUGCAUCCUGCGCACGCACAAGGUGCAGCCGGCGCAGGACUCGCUGCACGACAUCGCGCGGCAGACCACCGUGCUCGAGGCCAUACUCAUUGAUAAGAUUAAUAACACGCGAGGCGCACUAGCGGACAUCGAGACUCUAGAGAAGGCGAGCGCUACCGCUGCCGAUCGGCUACUCGAGAUGCGCGCGUCGCACAAGGCGCCCUCAAGACCUGAAGAGAAGAUCCUAGAGGGUCACAUACACGAGAUAGAGAAAGAAAAAGAUAUAAUCACGAAUAACCUACCCGCUCUUGUCAGGGCGACGUCCGACGAUGAUCUGCUUUCGACGACGGACCACGACGGCGAGUUUGGCAGCUCCGACGACCUGAGCACCGGCGCCGCCUCCCUGCGCUCCCAGCGGCUGCUGCACCGGCAGCUCUCCUCCGACGACCCCAUCAUGGUCUAAACCAGGUUCGCGAGGUGUAAACCAGGGGUCCGCGAGAUGUAACCAGGGGUCCGCGAGUUCGGAACCAGGGGUUCAUGAUCUCUAAACCAGGGGCUUGCGAGGCCUAAACCAAGUGUCAAGGGCACAUCCGUCAAGAGUUUCGCCAAAAUUAUUUAUGCUACCGCGAUACAUUACUAAAGCGUAGCGCAUAAUGAUGGGUAGAUAACAAGCCA
RNA transcript from Aricia agestis (brown argus), 6992 nucleotides. It is a transcript of the gene named unconventional myosin-IXAa-like, with no coding region annotated. The transcript has 35 exons. The record is from RefSeq and is a predicted model, not a curated record. Lineage: Eukaryota; Metazoa; Arthropoda; Insecta; Lepidoptera; Lycaenidae.